This 558-nucleotide ribosomal RNA is filed under the name uncultured Ascomycota. RNAcentral's name for it is "eukaryotic LSU rRNA". The stretch from base 193 to 346 matches the Rfam family "5.8S ribosomal RNA". Lineage: Eukaryota; Fungi; Ascomycota. The record is from RNAcentral.
GACCUGCGGAGGAUCAUUACCGAAGCACAGGCCCUCUCGUAGGGCUAAACUUCCACCCUUUGUGAACUACACUUUGUUGCUUUGGCGAGACGCCCUCGUGGCCACCGGCUCCGGCUGGUGCGCGCUCGCCAGAGAAAACCCAAACCCAAACCAUAUUUAGUGAUAUGUCUGAAAACAAGUUUAAUUAUUUAAAACUUUCAACAACGGAUCUCUUGGCUCUGGCAUCGAUGAAGAACGCAGCGAAAUGCGAUAAGUAAUGUGAAUUGCAGAAUUCAGUGAAUCAUCGAAUCUUUGAACGCACAUUGCGCCCCUUGGUAUUCCGGGGGGCAUGCCUGUCCGAGCGUCAUUAUCACCCCUCAAGCUCAGCUUGGUGUUGGGGCCUGCCCGUCACAGGGCAGCCCUUAAAAGCAGUGGCGGUGCCAUCUGGCUCUACGCGUAGUAAUACUCCUCGCGACAGAGUCCCGGUGGUGUCCUGCCAGAACCCCAAAUUUUUUCAUGAUUGACCUCGGAUCAGGUAGGGAUACCCGCUGAACUUAAGCAUAUCAAUAAGCGGAGGAA